This 551-nucleotide ribosomal RNA is filed under the name uncultured archaeon. Its description in RNAcentral is "bacterial SSU rRNA". It matches the Rfam family "Archaeal small subunit ribosomal RNA", at positions 327 to 879 of the family's 1478-position model. The record is from RNAcentral.
UGGGUGCCCAGGCGCGAAAACUUUACAAUGCCGGCAACGGCGAUAAGGGGACCUCGAGUGCCAGGUUACAAAUCUGGCUGUCGUGAUGCCUAAAAAGCAUUGCAUAGCAAGGGCCGGGCAAGACCGGUGCCAGCCGCCGCGGUAACACCGGCGGCUCGAGUGGUAACCGUUAUUAUUGGGUCUAAAGGGUCUGUAGCCGGCCGGAUAAGUCUCUUGGGAAAUCUGGCAGCUUAACUGUCAGGCUUUCAGGAGAUACUGUCUGGCUCGAGGCCGGGAGAGGUGAGAGGUACUUCAGGGGUAGGGGUGAAAUCUUGUAAUCCUUGAAGGACCACCAGUGGCGAAGGCGUCUCACCAGAACGGACCUGACGGCAAGGGACGAAAGCUAGGGGCACGAACCGGAUUAGAUACCCGGGUAGUCCUAGCCGUAAACGAUACUCGCUAGGUGUCGGCCACGGUGCGACCGUGGUCGGUGCCGUAGGGAAGCCGUGAAGCGAGCCACCUGGGAAGUACGGCCGCAAGGCUGAAACUUAAAGGAAUUGGCGGGGGAGCAC